Molecule: long non-coding RNA, 220 nt
Filed under: Lathyrus oleraceus (garden pea)
Lineage: Eukaryota; Viridiplantae; Streptophyta; Magnoliopsida; Fabales; Fabaceae
Description: Pisum sativum (pea) long non-coding RNA (PSAT_LNC020367)
Source: RNAcentral
AAAUAAGUUAAUAAGAAAGAUCUUGAAAUUAAUGACUUGGAUAGAAGUGUUGAGAAUGUAUCAAGUGUGAGUAGUGUGGGUAAUAGUUUUACAUUGGUUGGAAAUAUGGAGACUUGAGCAUUUAUAAAUGAGAUAAUCCACCCACAUAUUCACCUAAAAUCUUAAGGUUUUGGAUGAAUAUGUGGUGUGUCUCUCACAAAUGUGUUGCUCUAAAAAGAAG